AUUUGGCUGAGGGGAGAUCAAAAGGGGAACUGAGAAUUGCAAGUAUUUAUUUUUUCAUACUCAAGAAAAGAAAAGACUAUUCUUGGCCACAUUCCCAAGUUAUGAACAAGUAACUACUGUUAAUUCAAGAUAACUUCCUAUCAGGACUCAUGCUCUGAAAACCAGCCAAACAGCUAGCGCCUCACUCUCGUGGACUUGCUUCUGGAAAUCAGCCGGUCAACAGCCUCAUUCUAAGCAUCUGAGAGUGAGCACAUUAACAGCCCCGAGCUUCUGAAAGCCAAUCAGUGACAAACCCCCAAUCCUGCCAGUCAGCCGUCUAUGACAGCCGGUGCUUCUAGACAACAGCCAAUCAGAAAGUGCCCCACCCCAGGAGUCAAGAGAGCCCUCCUCCAGUGACCACGCUAAUACAGCUGAAAAUCCUUCAAUCUCUACACGCUCCUGCUUCUGAAAAUCCCCCAAUCCCGGAAUGUCAAGCUUCUCAAAACCUUAUAAAUUCAGAUGAAGAUAAAAUAAACACAGCAGAAGGUGUAGCGGCCUUCCACAGUCUGUCUUUCAGCUUGAAUAACUGUUUAAAUGUCCUGCUACCAGAAGUAUCUUCUGAUUUGAAAACUGCAAGCAAAUAUUCAGUGCCAGGACAAAAUCUACAGCAAUAAUAAAAAGUGUAAUAGCUGCAUUUACUACUACAGAUUAUCAAAGAUCUAAAUGCCUCCUGAUCUUUUUGCAGCAUAGCCACAGAUGCAAAUAAUCACAAUCAGAAAAAAUGUUCCUUUUGCUUGUGCAGUAUUUUUUUUCUGAAAAAGUCUUGCUUAGGAAGGCAUUGUGAGUCAAAUCUCUUCUGGGAUAGGAACUAGUGGAAUCACGUGUAUUGUUGGAGAAGAAGGAAGUAAAAAUGGACAACAAUCCUCUUCCGUAUCAAUGGACAACAUUUAAAAAAGUUAUUGAUCAAGAGAUGCAACAUAAUCUUCAAGAAUAGAAAAGCAAGUUAUGGCAUGAAAGAUGGUAUGUGCUUCAAGAAAUGAAAUUUGAAGAGCAAUUAUCAGAAUUUUAGCUUUAUGCCAGGAUGUGUUUAGCUUACUGGUUUAUAAUGCUACUAUUGAGCAUAUUUUCUCAUUGAUGAAGGUUAGAUGGACAAAAAAAACAAAAUAAGUUGAAUGCAACCACUGUGGAUAUGUUACAAUGUAGGUGGAAUAUGGACUGUAACCACAGGAAUUUUAUUAGCAAAUUAGGUGAAGCAAGGAGCUGUUAAGGACAGCCAUGUCAUCAGAAAAAUAAAAUUAAAGAAAGUG
Molecule: long non-coding RNA, 1286 nt
Filed under: Equus caballus (horse)
Lineage: Eukaryota; Metazoa; Chordata; Mammalia; Perissodactyla; Equidae
Description: lncRNA (ENSECAG00000054675.1)
Source: RNAcentral